RNA transcript from Arabidopsis thaliana (thale cress), 1074 nucleotides. RefSeq lists it as uncharacterized. The transcript has 2 exons. The record is from RefSeq. NCBI's taxonomy places the organism in Eukaryota, Viridiplantae, Streptophyta, Magnoliopsida, Brassicales, Brassicaceae.
ACAUUGAGCAAAGCGCUUCGACUGAUAAUCAAAUGAAAUGAUUUAAAAGUGGUACGACAAUAGUAUUUUGACGAAUGUGUUUAUUGUUUGCAGUUGCAACUUGUUAUUACGAUUAAGGUGUUUAUUUUCUUUGCUACAGUUACGAUCUUAAUGCUGAAAUGUACUUCAGUUAAAAUGUUUCGACUUGUGUUUUGACUAAAAUGUUCGGACUAAUUUGUUUGACUACUUGAGUUUAAAUCACUCGUGUUUUGAUUAAAGUGGUCGGACUAAUAAUUUGUUGCCUUAUUAAGUACUAUAACAUGUUAUGAAAGUGGACUUGGAAGUGACUAGCGUUACAUUUCUUCCAAAGGGUGUUUAUCAUAUUUCUAAGCCUUCCACUAAGUUUCGUUUAGUAGGAAAAUAAUGUUUUCCCCUAAAUGAAUAUUGAUUUUGUGUUUACCAAGUGGUACGAUUAGGUAUUCAAAUGUUACGAGUAAAAAGAAUAAGUGCCUGAGUUAAAAAAAUUUUAAAUGUGUCGCCCCUAAAUGGAUAUUGACUAAGUGUUUACUAAGUGGUUCGACUAAUUGUUAACUAAAGUGAAUUUGUUCAAUUGAUUUAGUGUAAAUUGUAAAGUGCGUUUUUAGACGCAAGGUAAUGACUAAUUGUUACUAAAGUGAUUUGGUUGAAUAUAUAUAGUGUUUUACCAAGUAUGUUUUUCUUAGGCGUGAGUUCUUUAUGACUAAGUGUUUUUUUUUUUUGGCGUGUGACUAAGUGUUUUUAGGCGUGUGACUAUGACUAAGUGCUUCGGUUUAUUUUUGACAAAGAGUUAAAGUUGUGCCUAAGAAGAGUGUUUUUUAUUUAUUUGGCCUUUUUGAUGAUACGUGUUUCGACAAAAUAUUUUAAAUUUUUAACUAACAUGCUUAGAGUGUGGGUUUUAUAUACACUAACAUGUUCAAAUAAGUGUUUAAAAGUGUCAAGUUUUUCGACUAAAAAGAGAUUCCUUUCGACUAAAAAGAGAUUCAAAACUAUUGUUGAUACUAGUGGUUCCUAGGAAAGCAUUGAAAAAUUUACCUCAAUUGCUGAUCAUGUUUUGGA